UUUCUUUUCAAGGCUUCCUGAUCCCUGUGCAUAAUAAGUUUACUUCACUGCUUACAAACACUGAGAAGUCACCAGAUCUUUCUCAGUAUGGAUCAAAUCAGUCAUCUGACCUAGAAGGGGAAGAAGGUUAUCAAAUACUCAUAUCCUUCAACACAAGUAUGUUAAGAAUAAGAAUGAUUGAGACUGUUUCAUUCUAUGAGACAAUUUAACUGGCAUGAAUCAGAUAUGCUGGAGACUAUCUUUUCUUCCUUUUUACCAGAUAAACCAAAAUAAAGCCAAAAACUUUUCUAA
Molecule: long non-coding RNA, 291 nt
Organism: Homo sapiens (human)
Lineage: Eukaryota; Metazoa; Chordata; Mammalia; Primates; Hominidae
Source: Ensembl